RNAcentral lists this ribosomal RNA (468 nucleotides) under uncultured bacterium. Its description in RNAcentral is "partial 16S ribosomal RNA". It matches the Rfam family "Bacterial small subunit ribosomal RNA", at positions 28 to 507 of the family's 1533-position model. The record is from RNAcentral.
GACGAACGCUGGCGGCGUGCUUAACACAUGCAAGUCGAACGGAAAGGCCCUGCUUUUGUGGUGUGCUCGAGUGGCGAACGGGUGAGUAACACGUGAGUAACCUGCCCUUGACUUUGGGAUAACUUCAGGAAACUGGGGCUAAUACCGGAUAGGAGCUCCUGCUGCAUGGUGGGGGUUGGAAAGUUUCGGCGGGUGGGGAUGGACUCGCGGCUUAUCAGCUUGUUGGUGGGGUAGUGGCUUACCAAGGCUUUGACGGGUAGCCGGCCUGAGAGGGUGACCGGCCACAUUGGGACUGAGAUACGGCCCAGACUCCUACGGGAGGCAGCAGGGGGGAAUAUUGCACAAUGGGCGGAAGCCUGAUGCAGCAACGCCGCGUGCGGGAUGACGGCCUUCGGGUUGUAAACCGCUUUCGCCUGUGACGAAGCGUGAGUGACGGUAAUGGGUAAAGAAGCACCGGCUAACUACGUG